AGAGAAGACCUUGUCUGACCAGUUUGAGGCCAAGAGGGCGAAAAACAAGGCUAGCAGAGAGAGGAAGAUUGCCCGGCGGGAGGAGCGCCUUGCUAUGGGUCCAGCAGGAGACAAGGCUAUGGCUGCAGCUCAAGCAGCUGCUGCCCAAACAACAGAACCAUCGAAGAAGUCCAAGAAGUGAAGAGAGUUUCUCGUGUCCUGAUAUCCCUCCUUUUUUUGCUGCUGUUUCCUAAUUUUUUUUGUCUUGCUGUUGUUUCGUUGGUUGAUCUUCCUAAUCUAAGUUUUAGUUGUUCGUGGAGUGUUUCUUGAAAACUCAGUUUAGUUAUAUAUAAACUUUUACGUUAAAACGUU
Tarenaya hassleriana is the source of this 351-nucleotide long non-coding RNA. RefSeq lists it as uncharacterized. The transcript has 3 exons. The record is from RefSeq and is a predicted model, not a curated record. Lineage: Eukaryota; Viridiplantae; Streptophyta; Magnoliopsida; Brassicales; Cleomaceae.